GAUGAACGCUGGCGGCGUGCCUAAUACAUGCAAGUCGAGCGAAAAGACGGUGAGCUUGUUCCCCUACCGUUAGCGGCGGACGGGCGAGUGACAAAUGGAUCGGCAUCUUAUUUUUCUUGGGUAAUUACGGGAGAACGGUGACGAUACUACAUAAUAUAUCCAACGGGUGGGUUCAAUAGUGCUAGACGGUUUUGCUGUUUCUUAUAGCUGGAUCCGCGCCGCAUUAGCUAGUUGGUAAGGUAACGGCUUACCAAGGCGACGAUGCGUAGCCGAGCUGAGAGGAUGAUCAGCCACACUGGAACUGAGACACGGUCCAGACUCCUACGGGAGGCAGCAGUGGGGAAUCUUGCACAAUGGGCGAAAGCCUGACCGAGCCACACCGCGUGGGUGAAGAAGGUCUUCGGAUCGUAAAGCCCUGUUAUUAGGGAAGAACAGAUGUGUGAGUAACCAUGCACGUCUUGACGGUACCUAAACAGAAAGCAACGGCUAACUACGUG
This 497-nucleotide ribosomal RNA is filed under the name uncultured bacterium. RNAcentral describes it as "partial 16S ribosomal RNA". It matches the Rfam family "Bacterial small subunit ribosomal RNA", at positions 28 to 507 of the family's 1533-position model. The record is from RNAcentral.